Carassius gibelio (silver crucian carp) is the source of this 313-nucleotide long non-coding RNA. RefSeq lists it as uncharacterized. The record is from RefSeq and is a predicted model, not a curated record. The transcript has 2 exons. Lineage: Eukaryota; Metazoa; Chordata; Actinopteri; Cypriniformes; Cyprinidae.
CGAGAUCGCUAGUAUAAAACAAGGCGAGCGGCCAUACUUCUUUCUUUCAGUCUACUGCAACACUGAGGAAACAUGUUCGAUGGCUUCAUGAUGCUGAAGUAAAGCCGCCUUCUGAAGUUCUGGGAAUGGCUGUUCUGUUAACCCCGGCUUUAGUGUAGGUGCUCAACAAAUUGCAUCCUUUUGUAUGUUAAAUGAGACUUGAUCAAAACAUGAAUAUAAUUUAGUUUUAUUGAUAUGUCUUUGUUAGCAUACGAGUCCUCUGUAUCUUGUAACUUCUGUGUUGAGAACAAGUUCCAAUAAACUGUGACCCUAA